GUGAAGUAGCCUUAGUCGACUGUAUGAACUCAUAAACUCACUCAACACCUGCACAUGUUUCGCUGAAACACUCUCCAGCUGAAGCUUCUCUGAGUUGUACUGCUCCAUUAGGUCAUCCAAAUCGGGGAAUGACCACUCAGCUUCUUCAACAGGUUGCUCAUAGCAUAUCAUCUCACGUUUCGCAACGGAACCGUUAGAGACCGUAUCUCUUCCCAAACCACUCGUUGCUUCUUCAUCCACACUCAACUUGGAAAGAGGCUGAUCACCAUGUAGUUGCUCAAUCACAACGGGUUCAGACAUAAGGAUACCUAAUAAACAACAUGAGAGUAGAAAGUACAUCCCAGGGCAACAAUACAUCAAAAAGAAUCAAACUUUGAACAUAACUGAAUCAAUCACCUUGGUUCACAGCAGCAGAAGCAGAAUGUACAUCAGAAACAGAAGAGUUAUCCUCUGUAUUCUCCGGUACACCAGCAGCAGCAGCAAGGAAGCUGCUUUCCACAUCACUCAAAACAAGAUCAGCUUCCUCCCAGAAACCAAUCUCAUCAGCUGCAUCACACCUCACCUCAACAUCAUCCACCCAUUUGAAGAAUCCACAAGCCCCAAAACCCUAAAAACACUAACUUUCUUAAAACCAUACACUCAGUGAAACCUUUUAAAAUUGAUCAAAUCAAAAACCUUUUUGACGCCACAUUGCAAGUAAGCUCGUCCAGAAUCAGCUACGACUCUCCGGCAAGGUCCAGAACCGCAGGGGCAAUCGGGGAUGGUGAAAGCAGGGCGGAAUCUGAUAUCUUCGUCGGUUGCUUUGUCACACCACUUGAAGAAGGUGCACUUCUGAGCCUGAGAGACAUUCAAAUCGUUAGCAAGAGAAUUCAAUUCGCGUUUGAUUCGAUGGAAUCGUGAAAGAAGUACGAACGGCAGGGCAUUUGUAGAAUCUUCUUCCGGGAUUCUCUUUAGUGUUCGAGAGCUUGGUUUCGCAGAGACCUCCGCCGCAAGGGCAGUGGAUCGACGGUGGAGGAGGAUCGUCAUCGGCGUUGGAUUUGAGAGGGCAAUCGCUGAUCCAGUGGCCGGUUUGACGGCAUCGGAAGCAGUUGCCGGUUUGCAUCCCGUCGUCGUCACGCUCUCGGAGACAUCCAACCUCCGUCUCAUUCUCAAUGAUGUUGUUAUGGGCCUUAAGCUUAUGGUAAUUGGUUUUUGAAGCCCAAUGAUUUGCUCGUUAAUGUGGGCCAUUACAUGUUUAAGCGGGCCAUAUUAGAUUAAAAAAUUUAAACCCAUCAAAUUAAAGCUAAGCAGAUUUUAUUUUCUUCUAAAUUAUAAAAUAUCAAAAUUCGAAAUAAAUAAGAAUUCAGAUGUUACAACUUGUGGUUACAAAUUCCUUAACCUAACUAUCUAAUCAACGUUGAUUACCUAACUUUGUUAGAUCUAAAUCUAAGAUGAGAUUACACUAGCCAGAAGAGGCUACUAACACUCUAUUCAUCCGAUGAUGGUUAAGUACACAUAGACAAGCGCCGAAGUUCAAAGUCAGCUAACUAAGUGGAUUCAAUUAUUCAAAUAUCAUUAUGAUGGAUGAGGAGAGAAACAAUAAUUGUGCUAACGUAAUCUUUGUUAGUUAGUUAGUUGUAGGAUUCGAAGGUAAAUGAAGAAGGAGAAUUAGAUUAGUACGAGCUAAUGAUGCAGUUAAGUAUGCAUGUGUAGGAAGUAUGGUGGAGAAACUACGCACACCUAACCCCUCAUCUAGUCCUGGGCGUUCGGGUACCCGUUGGCGUUCGGAUCGGGUUUUUCAGAUUUCGGUUCUUUUUUAUAACACCACUUAGGUCUCAUUCUAAUAAAUUUACAAGUACGGGUCGGGUUCAGAUAUAACACAUCGGGUUCGGCUCGGUUUUGUAUCACAUCAUAGAACCCAUAAAGUAACAAUAUAUCAUUCGGAUUCGGGUUAUAUCGGAUCGGUUCGGAUAUAUCCGAUAUAAAAUCUAAAAUUUAAAAGCAAAACAUAAAUACGGAAACGAUAUCUUAAGACAUGUACGUAACUUUCAUUUGAUUGAAUAGAAAGAGCGAAUAAUACACAUAAAUAUUCGCACCACCACCAUAACGUUGCUUUUUGGCCGUUUCAAGCUCUCAUUUUAUUGUUUAACCUUUUUUUUGUGACAAAAAAAACAACCUUUUUCUUUUUUUUCUCCAUGACUUAACCACUAAGGAGGUUUCACCACUACCCUUCCCAGUCCCACACGUACUCUAGAUUUCAAAUUAUCGAACCGUGCAGAUGCAUUACAUGAUACAUCUGGGCCUAAGUUUUGGCCUAUUAUAGCAAAUGACUCGAGGGCCAAGUCUUCUUUAUUAACUAGUCGGCCUCCCUAAUUAGUAUGCCAAACAUUUCGGAUUACAUUAGCUUAUUAUAUACACCAAAAAACCAAAAAUGUAGUAUGUCUAACCUAUAAAUCUAGUUCUACCAUAAGGAACGAACAUGAAUAAUAUAAACAGAGUAUGUCAUGUCAAGCCAUAGCCCAUCAGGCAUUUUGGGGCCUUGAAUUCUAAGGCCCAUAUGUAAUAUGCAUGUAAAUUUUGUUUUCCAUUGGUUAAGAUACAAAAGGGAUAACUCCUUAUUGAAAGACAAACAGUCACUUUGAUCAUAGAAAGAGAUCAAGGACGGCUAAACAUGAUGAAAAAAAAAGAAACAAAGGUGAAAAUAAAUUAAAUAUGGAUGAGAAGAUGUUAAUUAUAGGAAUAAAAGUGGUUGAAACCAUGAGGCAAGGAGUCAGAAACCGAAGGCAUUCUACUGAACAUUGGGCUGUGGACGUACUCACCCUCGAAAUAGUUAGCGGAGGAGAAGUCUUCCACGCUCCAUUGUUGUUGGCUGUAACAAGAACUAGACAAGUCGCUCGGCAGAGGAGGCAGCUCGCAGCCGCUGUUAGAAUAACAAGAAGGAGAGCCACCAAACAUGUAACUACUACUGUCCACAUGAUCAGACUGGAGCUGUAGCAUUGGCGAGUCAGUAGAUGAAUAUUGGUUAAACAUCAUCAUGUAAUCGACAUGAUCAUUUGGACAAGUAGGAGAAGCAGCAGGAGGGGGAGGAGGAGAAUCGUCAGGAGAAACAAUGGAGGUGACGGAGGAGGAAGGAGGCAUGUCUGAGUAGACAAAGUUGGUUCGGGCACGAGUGCCACGCAUGGACCGAGAAGCUCUGUCGUAGGCCAAGGCAGCUUCCUCAGCCGUAUCAAAAGUACCAAGCCAGUGACGCUCCUUUGUAGUUGGGUCUCUUAUCUCAGCUGCGUAUCUUCCCCAAGGCCUCCUUCUUACCCCAAGAAACUUUGUUCCAACCUCUUCUUGCUUCUUCUUGGUCUUGGAUGUGUUCAUCGUUCUGUAUCCGGUUUAUAUUCUUGAUAUCCGGUUUAGAUUAUUUAUUCUAGUUGAAGGAGAAGAAAAAUGAGGGAAGGAAUGUGUGUUGGUAUCCCUUUGACAACCCUUUUAUAUAAGAGCUGCAUGCACCUUUCCUUUCCUUUUCUCAUUUUUAUAUUCUAUAUAAAUAUAUUUUUAUCUUUAUUCCAAUAUGAACAUCAUUUAAAAAAACAGCACUGCUGUUGAGUUAAUUGUGGCCUAUGAGGCUAUGAUAUAUCAAUUAUCAGUCAAUCGAAAUAUAUAAUUAUCAAAUGAUUUGCCACUUGGUAGCAUGUUUUAUUCAUUUCUCAAGGAUUGUAUACUAGUGAUUUCAUAAAUGGUUCCGCUCAAAUCUAAUGCUUAGAUCGGACUAACUUUGAUCAUAGCUGCUAGUAUAUUAACUCCAAUUUAUUUAAAAUACAAAGGAGUUUGGUUUUGUUACAAAUGAGAGCGAACCAAUAAUAAGAAAAACCAUUAAAAAUAAAUGCAUAUAGCAAUGAGUUAGCAUUAUAAUUAGAUACAUCUGACAUCUCUGUGUACUCAUCACUCGUCAACAAUAAUAAGCUGAAAAUAAAAGAUGGUGAAUGAUAAGGGGAGCCAUGAUUAGCAUGUUACUUUAGCUACCAACUUUACUUGUCUAAUAAUAUGAUCUCGCAGUUGAUAGAUAAACAAAAAUUAUAGAUAAAUAACGUAGUCGGCAGUAGUAAACUAUUAAAUUCGGAGAAUAUCCAAAUACUAUUGCAUGUGAUGGUCCAAUUUAAAUGAUAUGGAAUAUGCAUGAACUGCGAUUGUAAUCAUACACUCUCCAGAGAAAAAGAGAAGCAAUUCCUAAUUAUUUCAUGAAACGUAAACGGUUUUCCUCUUAUCAAUCAUACAACUCGAAAAACAAUGAGUUUGGUGUUUCAAAAAUAAUAAAACAAUUGGGAAAGAAAGGGCGCAAUGAUGGCCGUAUGAUUGAAGGUAGUCGACUUAAUCAUGGGAUCAUGAAGUCAUUACUUAAGCAUCUAUUAUAUGCGUAUAAAUCUUGUAAAACUAAUUAAUCACCCAGUGUCGGGUUUUGACUUUUGACUAACACAAAUUAAAAGAGAAAGUCUUUGAGAAAGAUUAUCAUUUUUUUGGGGGUAAAACUAUGAUAAUCAUAUUUGAUACGAGAGUAUCUAAGGAAGCAAGUGGUAGCCUUUCUAAGACGAUCUUAUUCUGUGUCAGAAGAAGAAGACCAAAGACCAGUUAUGCAUGGCUACACGACCAACGUUAGGGACGGUGAUGGUGGAUCGUAUUAUUCUUAUUCUCUUUUAUAAUAUACUCCCAUUAGUCUACAUGUACAAUAAUCCAAAGUGGGUGUUAUAUAAACCAGAGAAUAAUUUAAAACAACAAGGGGUGAUGCAUGUGCUCUCAAUUUUAUAGGCCACACCCUUUUUCAUCUCCCUAUUGUUUUAGUCCCCAAGGCAUCUAUCAAUUUUUUUAACAUUUACUUUUCUAAUAGUCUCUUCCUAAAUUCGAUUUCUUAAUAUAUAUUCUGACCAAAUUAAUCCAUUCAAAUCCGUUUGCUCUGUAUUACUUUAUUUUAAAACAUUAUUUAUAACCAUGCAUUAUUAAGAACAAAUGAAUUUGGGUUGCAUGUGAGCAAUCUUUUAUGCUUUUGAGUUUCAUAGUUAAUCUUAAUUUCAUUGGAGAAAACAAGUCCUAUCAUUUUAUGUUCCCCCUUUUGACCAACUCUCAUUUGUUUCGUUUAGUUCUAUAUAUCUAAUUCAAAGCCUUGAUACAUUGAAUCUUGUUCACAUUUUACGAUUCCAUUCUAUAUCUCCUUUUGAUUUUAUUCCCCUAUCAUUUAUUCUAGUUUUCUUUACAAAAUUAAUACUGCCUUCUCAUGGUUUACGGUGAACUAUAAAUUCAUUUACAAUGUCGAAGUAUCUAUCAUGUAACUAUUGAUGAUCAAGUAUCUAUGGGUUUGGACCUCUAAUGGUGUUUUAGUAGGCAAGUAAGAAAGACGAGAACGCAUGUGCGCCCAACGUGGAAAGACACUCUCUUGGACGGUUAACAUCAUUAAUCCUUUUUCUAAUCAUUACCUACACAAUUAUCCUGUCUUAUUCACAUCUAAUUACUCUUUUAAUCAAGCGACCAUGUGAUGAGCGCACUAUGUAGAUUCACAAUUCUCAACCACAUUAAGAAGUUUUAAAACAAAGGAAAUGUGUUUUUGGCUUAUCUAAACCUGAAAAUCAAUCAAUCCCUUGAUCCAAUGAACUUGUUUGUAUAAGUUGUAUGAUCUGAUAUAGUUGAAACUUGAAAGUGUGUGUAUUAAGGAGUUAAAUGAAUUUAUUAAUUACUUGGCUAAAAUAAGUGUAACCAGUAAUAGUUACAUUCCAACACUUACAAUGACACUCACGAGUAAGCUCAACAUCUUCUUCUCUUCCUACCAACAAACUCUUUCUGCUUCAACAAUUCCACUUCAUCUCCUAGUAUCGCUGCCAUCACCUGCAUCCUAUUCUGAGCCUCAGCCAUCUCUCCAGCCACUUCCCGGCAACUCGCUCCAAGCUCCAAUGCCUCGGCCUCACAACAAGCCAUCUCCUUCUCCGUCUCAAGCAACAGUUUCCUCAGAUUACCAGUUUUCUCAUGAAGUAACCUUAACCGACUGUAUGAACUCAUAAACUCACUCAACACUUGUGCAUGUUUCGCUGAAACACUCUCCAGCCGAAGCUUCUCUGAGUUGUAUUGCUCCAUUAGGUCAUCCAAAUCGGGGAAUGACCACUCAGCUUCUUCCACAGUUUGCUCAUAGCAUAUCAUCUCACGUUUCGCAACAGAACCGUUAGAGACCGUAUCUCUUCCCAAACCACUCGUUG
Molecule: long non-coding RNA, 6203 nt
Filed under: Brassica napus (rape)
Lineage: Eukaryota; Viridiplantae; Streptophyta; Magnoliopsida; Brassicales; Brassicaceae
Description: long non-coding RNA (BNAP_LNC012692)
Source: RNAcentral